AAAUUGAAGAGUUUGAUCAUGGCUCAGAUUGAACGCUGGCGGCAGGCCUAACACAUGCAAGUCGAACGGUAACAGGAAGCAGCUUGCUGCUUYGCUGACGAGUGGCGGACGGGUGAGUAAUGUCUGGGAAACUGCCUGAUGGAGGGGGAUAACUACUGGAAACGGUGGCUAAUACCGCAUAACGUCGCAAGACCAAAGAGGGGGACCUUCGGGCCUCUUGCCAUCAGAUGUGCCCAGAUGGGAUUAGCUUGUUGGUGAGGUAACGGCUCACCAAGGCGACGAUCCCUAGCUGGUCUGAGAGGAUGACCAGCCACACUGGAACUGAGAGA
This 329-nucleotide ribosomal RNA is filed under the name Salmonella enterica. Its description in RNAcentral is "bacterial SSU rRNA". The record is from RNAcentral. Lineage: Bacteria; Pseudomonadati; Pseudomonadota; Gammaproteobacteria; Enterobacterales; Enterobacteriaceae.